UCCCGGUUCAAGGGAGUCAAGCAAGCACAAGAUCCUCUCGGUGAGCUUAUUGCCCCUCGGAUCCUUUUGCUUUUUCGUUGGCUUUAGCACCCUAAUUCUAGAAAAUCCGAGAAAUUUGGUGGGGAGUAGUGAUGCUUGUGGAUCGGCGGAGAUGAAUCCGUCUGAAUUCAGGAACCUGAUUCGACAGAAGAAGGGCUAACCUCCUUUUGGUCUCGUCUCAAGUUGACUGUGGAGUGUGAAGUCGUUCUUGCUGAUGGAGAAGCUGAGCUGAGCUUGGAUUCUUUAGCUGUUUAGCACCGGGAGAGCUUUGUUUGUGUAACUACACGAAGAAAAAGAAGAAGAUUCUUUACCUGCUAUUUCUAGAUGUUGAUCUGAUUCGAUUGCCACACAUGCGAUUCUCUUUGCUACAAUUGGAGAACCACGGCUCGCAGGGUUUGUACUUUGGUAGAUUGCAGCACUGGAAGUGUUAAUUGAGAAAGAUAUAAAAAAAUUAGCUAGUUAGGGGUCGAUAUUGAUACAACCUAAUUGAUGCAAUGCAAGUUGUCGAUUUGGAUAUCUCUUAUCUGGUUGUAUUAAUACUUCAGGCUUGGAUUGCAUAGUGGAGCAAAGUACUAGUAGAAUGCUACAGGAGUACCAGGGCUGGUGUAGUAUAUAUCCUAAUGCAGUUCCUUCUUUACCAGAAUGCAACCAUUGUGAGAGCUGCUGCGUCUUCUGCAAUUGCUACUGGAUACCCUUAUUUUUUACAGUUUCAAGUUUGAAUUGUAUAUAUGUGUAGUUUGUUUCUGUGUUGUUGCUAAAAUCCACAAUCUGUAACUGCGGUGUCGCUCACUUCUUGAAGGGCAUCUGGCAUCAAUGCAUGUGUCUCAGAUAUGUGACUGUUAACCAUUUGAUCACUUUUCACUCCCUGCUUCAUUUGAUUCUUAUAAAAUAGAUCACGGCUGCGAAGGAUUUGAUACACAUAAAUAGUGAAUGAUUAUUUGCAAAUACUAAUGUCAUGUUUAGGCGAUAGAUGCUUAUAACUUUCGAACCCUUCCCUGGACCCUGCGCAAGCGGGAGCUACAUGCACCAGGUUGCCCCCUAUUCCUCCGCGAACUAAGAUUAGCAUUACUUGUAG
RNAcentral lists this long non-coding RNA (1114 nucleotides) under Triticum aestivum (bread wheat). RNAcentral describes it as "long non-coding RNA (TAES_LNC014829)". The record is from RNAcentral. Lineage: Eukaryota; Viridiplantae; Streptophyta; Magnoliopsida; Poales; Poaceae.